AGAGUUUGAUCAUGGCUCAGAAUCAACGCUGGCGGCGUGCCUCAGACAUGCAAGUCGAACGCGAAAGUCCCCUUCGGGGGAUGAGUAGAGUGGCGUCCGGGUGAGUAACACGUAGGUAAUCUACCUUUGGGUGGGGAAUAACAACCGGAAACGGUUGCUAAUACCGCAUAAUGCAGCGGCACCACAUGGUGACAGUUGUUAAAGCGGGGGAUCGCAAGACCUCGCACCUGAAGAGGAGCCUGCGGCGGAUUAGCUAGUUGGUAGGUAACGGCUUGCCAAGGCAACGAUCCGUAGCCGGCCUGAGAGGGCGGUCGGCCACACUGACCCUGAAAUACGGGUCAGACUCCUACGGGAGGCAGCAGUCGGGAAUUUUGGGCAAUGGGCGCAAGCCUGACCCAGCAACGCCGCGUGAAGGAUGAAAUCCCUCGGGAUGUAAACUUCGCAAGAACGGGAAGAAUAAGUGGAAGUUAAUACCUUCCAUGAUGACGGUACCGUUUGUAAGCUCCGGCUAACUCCGUGCCAGCAGCCGCGGUAAUACGGGGGGAGCAAGCGUUGUUCGGAUUUACUGGGCGUAAAGGGCGCGUAGGCGGCCUGUGCAAGUCAGUUGUGAAAUCUCCGGGCUUAACUCGGAAAGGUCAACUGAUACUGCUCGGCUAGAGUGCGGAAGGGGCAACUGGAAUUCUUGGUGUAGCGGUGAAAUGCGUAGAUAUCAAGAGGAACACCUGCGGCGAAGGCGGGUUGCUGGGCCGACACUGACGCUGAGGCGCGAAAGCUAGGGGAGCGAACGGGAUUGGAUACCCCGGUAGUCCUAGCCUUAAACGAUGAAUGCUUGGUGUCUGGGGUUAUAAAGUCCCCGGGUGCCGUCGCUAACGCUUUAAGCGUUCCGCCUGGGGAGUACGGUCGCAAGACUGAAACUCAAAGGAAUUGACGGGGACCCGCACAAGCGGUGGAGCAUGUGGCUUAAUUCGACGCAACGCGAAGAACCUUACCUGGGCUAGAAUGCCUCUGACAACCCUAGAGAUAGGGCCUCCAAGGUAAAACUUGGCAGAGUGCAAGGUGCUGCAUGGCUGUCGUCAGCUCGUGUCGUGAGAUGUUGGGUUAAGUCCCGCAACGAGCGCAACCCUUAUCGAUAGUUGCCAGCGGUUCGGCCGGGCACUCUAUUGAGACUGCCGUUGAC
This 1177-nucleotide ribosomal RNA is filed under the name uncultured bacterium. Its description in RNAcentral is "bacterial SSU rRNA". It matches the Rfam family "Bacterial small subunit ribosomal RNA", at positions 8 to 1159 of the family's 1533-position model. The record is from RNAcentral.